GAUUCAAUAACUGUCGCAGGCCACCCACUCGGGUAAGGCGCGUAUAUGGUCCGCCGCGAGCCGGGUGGCGCUUCGUUUACUUCAUGAUAUGUGUACCAUUGCUCUUGCCCACUCGCGAAGGGGUAGACGCGAAAACACAGCCGAACAUUAAGCUGUGAUUCAGUUUAAAGGCGCAACGCAGGAGGCCGUUGUUUGAGCACAGAAUUAACCCUCCCGUCCCCGACACCAGUGUCGCCCAUGGACUUCGCCUAGCUCUGGAAUAGAGAUCUACUGGAGGGGACUAUUCUUAGCAGGUUUGUAUCGAAUUUGGUCUUGCGGCAGGCGGCCGCGGUAAAUACGUGAGGGAGCUAGCGUGGUUCGAUAUUACUGGGAGGUCAAAGCACUCGUAGGCGGCUUUGUAAGUUAGAGGGGAAAGCCUGGAGCUCAACUCCAGAAUUCGCUUUAAGACUUCAUCGCUUGAAUCCAAGAGAGGUGAGUGGAAUUCCGAGUGUAGAGGUGAAAUUCGUAGAUAUUCGGAAGAACACCAGUGGCGAAGGCGGCUCACUGGCUUGGUAUUGACGCUGAGGUGCGAAGGCGUGGGGAGCAAACAGGAUUAGAUACCCUGGUAGUC
Molecule: ribosomal RNA, 610 nt
Filed under: uncultured bacterium
Lineage: Bacteria
Description: partial 16S ribosomal RNA
Rfam family: Bacterial small subunit ribosomal RNA (bases 307-610)
Source: RNAcentral